GCAGAGAUGGCUCAGCAGUUAAGAGCACUGACUGCACUUGCAGAGGUCCUGAGUUCAAAUCCCAGCAACCGCA
Molecule: transfer RNA, 73 nt
Filed under: Mus musculus (house mouse)
Lineage: Eukaryota; Metazoa; Chordata; Mammalia; Rodentia; Muridae
Description: tRNA-Cys
Source: RNAcentral